AGACCUCCCAUUGGACAAUCAGCCUGUGUUUGUGUGGCGAAGAGGCGCGCUGACAGAAUGCACGGCUACCUGUGGAAAAGGCUCUCAGUACAGAGAGAUUGUGUGUGUGAAUCGACACACAGACCAGGACGUCCACGAGAGGAGGUGUGACUCUGCAACCAAACCUGCGCCGGAGGAGGAGCCGUGUAACGUUCAUCCCUGUCCACCAUUCUGGGAUAUGGGCGUGUGGUCCGAAUGCAGUGUUUCCUGCGGCUGGGGUGUGCAGCAGCGUCACAUACAGUGCAGGCAGAGUUUUGGGAAUCGCUCAACCAUGGUUCACCCUCAGCGCUGCGCCAGUCUCACCCGCCCCAACGCCACGCAGCCCUGCCACCCGCGCGUCUGCUCACACUGGGAGAUCAGCACCAACUGGA
Sinocyclocheilus grahami is the source of this 410-nucleotide long non-coding RNA. RefSeq lists it as uncharacterized. The transcript has 3 exons. The record is from RefSeq and is a predicted model, not a curated record. Lineage: Eukaryota; Metazoa; Chordata; Actinopteri; Cypriniformes; Cyprinidae.